RNAcentral lists this ribosomal RNA (433 nucleotides) under uncultured bacterium. RNAcentral describes it as "bacterial SSU rRNA". It matches the Rfam family "Bacterial small subunit ribosomal RNA", at positions 29 to 507 of the family's 1533-position model. The record is from RNAcentral.
AACGAACGCUGGCGGCAUGCCUAACACAUGCAAGUCGAACGAAGGCUUCGGCCUUAGUGGCGCACGGGUGCGUAACGCGUGGGAACCUGCCCCUCGGUUCGGAAUAACAGUUAGAAAUGACUGCUAAUACCGGAUGAUGACUUCGGUCCGAAGAUUUAUCGCCGAGGGAUGGGCCCGCGUAGGAUUAGCUAGUUGGUGGGGUAAAGGCCUACCAAGGCGACGAUCCUUAGCUGGUCUGAGAGGAUGAUCAGCCACACUGGGACUGAGACACGGCCCAGACUCCUACGGGAGGCAGCAGUGGGGAAUAUUGGACAAUGGGCGAAAGCCUGAUCCAGCAAUGCCGCGUGAGUGAUGAAGGCCUUAGGGUUGUAAAGCUCUUUUACCAGGGAUGAUAAUGACAGUACCUGGAGAAUAAGCUCCGGCUAACUCCGUG